GGCCUUGACAUACUAAGAACUUUCCAGAGAUGGAUUGGUGCCUUCGGGAACUUAGAUACAGGUGCUGCAUGGCUGUCGUCAGCUCGUGUCGUGAGAUGUUGGGUUAAGUCCGCAACGAGCGCAACCCUUUUCCUUAUUUGCCAGCGGGUCAUGCCGGGAACUUUAAGGAUACUGCCAGUGACAAACUGGAGGAAGGCGGGGACGACGUCAAGUCAUCAUGGCCCUUACGGCCAGGGCUACACACGUGCUACAAUGGUCGGUACAAAGGGUUGCUACCUCGCGAGAGGAUGCUAACCUCAAAAAGCCGAUCGUAGUCCGGAUCGCAGUCUGCAACUCGACUGCGUGAAGUCGGAAUCGCUAGUAAUCGCGGAUCAGAAUGCCGCGGUGAAUACGUUCCCGGGCCUUGUACACACCGCCCGUCACACCAUGGGAGUUUGUUGCACCAGAAGUAGGUAGUCUAACCGCAAGGAGGACGCUUACCACGGUGUGGCCGAUGACUGGGGUGAAGUCGUAACAAGGUAGGCGUAGAUGA
This 532-nucleotide ribosomal RNA is filed under the name uncultured bacterium. Its description in RNAcentral is "bacterial SSU rRNA". It matches the Rfam family "Bacterial small subunit ribosomal RNA", at positions 977 to 1509 of the family's 1533-position model. The record is from RNAcentral.